UACGUAUGGUGCAAGCGUUAUCCGGAUUUACUGGGUGUAAAGGGAGCGCAGGCGGCACGGCAAGCCUGAUGUGAAAGCCCGCGGCCCAACCGCGGGACUGCAUUGGGAACUACCGGGCUGGAGUGCCGGAGGGGUAGGCGGAAUUCCUAGUGUAGCGGUGAAAUGCGUAGAUAUUAGGAGGAACACCAGUGGCGAAGGCGGCCUACUGGACGGUGACUGACGCUGAGGCU
This 230-nucleotide ribosomal RNA is filed under the name uncultured microorganism. RNAcentral's name for it is "partial 16S ribosomal RNA". It matches the Rfam family "Bacterial small subunit ribosomal RNA", at positions 524 to 753 of the family's 1533-position model. The record is from RNAcentral.